RNAcentral lists this unclassified non-coding RNA (718 nucleotides) under Hevea brasiliensis (rubber tree). The record is from RNAcentral. Lineage: Eukaryota; Viridiplantae; Streptophyta; Magnoliopsida; Malpighiales; Euphorbiaceae.
CGGAAAUGAAAAAGAUACACUUUUUCAAAGAUUUUUACAAAAUGAAUAGGAAUAUUGUGUAUAAGUUUGGAGCUGAUAUAGAACUUGUACGUGACUCCCAAGUUUUGGUGACUUUGACUUAUUGAAGAAUUUUGUCAUGAAGAUUUGACGCAUAUAGUUAGCAAAAGCAAUACAAUUAAUUACUAUUUUCCCCACCACUAACAGCGGCAGAGCUAGACAUUUUAAUUUGAGGGGCCAUGAACAUAAUCGUUUAUUUUAUUAUAUGAAAUACUAAGACGUUGAGAUUUUAUGCAUGAACAAAGACUCCUAGUGUUUCAACCUUCAUAUAUGUAUCACGGGAAAAUGAGAGAACUUUUUUGUUUUUGGGGAGCGGGUCUGCCACCAUGUAGGUCCGUCCGUCAUUGCUCACUAAAGCAUUGCAAAUAAAAAAUGAGUUGAUUUGGAGUAGGUGUAGGUACUCGCUUGCAAUCAAUCACUUUUAGCGCAUGAGUAAUUUCGCUGAGAGCUAUAUAGGCUACAUCUCCAUAUCAAUUGCUGAUCAUUAUUUCAACUUUUGGAUUUUGGCAAGCAUUCAACUGGAUUCUACAAAUAGUUAUGAGCGGACCAUGUUGUGCAUUUUGGCUUGUCAUCGAAUUUGUCAUGAUCAAUUCAUCUAUUUUACAUCUUCAUGUUGUGUUAAUUAAGUGUAAAGAAUUGUUUGGAGUGCUAAGUCAACGGC